RNAcentral lists this ribosomal RNA (480 nucleotides) under uncultured bacterium. RNAcentral describes it as "bacterial SSU rRNA". It matches the Rfam family "Bacterial small subunit ribosomal RNA", at positions 26 to 518 of the family's 1533-position model. The record is from RNAcentral.
AGGACGAACGCUGGCGGCGCGCCUAACACAUGCAAGUCGAACGAGGUUUUAGGAGCUGCUUUGGAAACCGAGUGGCGGACGGGUGAGUAACACGUGAGCAACCUGCCUUUCAGAGGGGAAUAACAUUCGGAAACGAAUGCUAAUACCGCAUAACGUAUUAGGAUGGCAUCAUUUUAAUACCAAAGGAGCAAUCCGCUGAGAGAUGGGCUCGCGCCCGAUUAGAUAGUUGGUGAGGUAAUGGCUCACCAAGUCGACGAUCGGUAGCCGGACUGAGAGGUUGAACGGCCACAUUGGGACUGAGACACGGCCCAGACUCCUACGGGAGGCAGCAGUGGGGAAUAUUGGGCAAAGUGGGGGAAACCCUGACCCAGCGACGCCGCGUGAGUGAAGACGGCCUUCGGGUUGUAAAGCUCUGUUUCGGGGGACGAUAAUGACGGUACCCCGGGAGGAAGCCACGGCUAACUACGUGCCAGCCGCGGC